UUCAAAUUAACGUCCGAUGUCAUUUUGGAAAUGAUUUCGUAGGCGUGGGCACGAAUACGAAGCUUGAAGGAGUUGUGGAAUUAGUUCGAACGAUUUUAUUUCGAAAACGAACGUUAUUUAGGGGGUCUUAAAAAGUGACUUCUUAUACGUACAGAAUUUGGGAAAACUUUCUUCAUGAAAGUUGUAGAGCUCGUCGAUACGAUCUCGUGCGUAUGUUGAACGCAAUAUUCGGAGUUUGUAUGAAUAAGUUAUGAAUAUUUGAAAAUCGGGAUUUUUUUUCUAUAAAUAUGGAGAAUUUCUGGAAUUUUUCUUAAAUCCCAAAAUUUCCUAUUCUUUCUAUUUUCUCCCCCGGUUUUCUCUCUUCUCUCUCCUCUCCCCCGACCUUUUUCUCUUCUUUCUGGGCGUUCUUCCUCUGCCAGCAGCGCCACCGUCCGGCCACCUCAAGCCGCUCUCGAGGUGUCCACGGCUUCGCCUCGACGUCGUCUAGCUACUGGACGUGACCACUUUCCCCGGAACGGCCUCAAAUCCGGCAAACCGGAGCUGCAAGGUUUGAGCCAAAAACAGUCAACGCCGGUUUUCUCCUAAUUCCGGCCACCAAAACUCACGAUCCUUAGCUCCCUGAACUCACCUCAACAUGCUGAUCAUCAUCCUAGAAGGAUCGCACCUGGAGUGACCGGAUUCACGUUCGUCGGAGCUCGGCCGGCUUUAAUUCGAAAACCACCUUCGAAUCCGAUUUUCUCGAGUUAUAGACCACCUUUUCUUGUGAUUCUUGGCCUGGUGAGUUCACCUUGAGAUUAUUAACAACUCUCAAGAAGGGAUCGAGGCCUGAGGUUGAAGUUUUUACGUCGGAAUUCAAGCUCGCCGGAUUCUGGAAAAUUUCCGACCACGAAGACUUUCGAUCAAGAUAUCGCGAGCUGUAGUGCAUCGUUUUGAUUGAUUCUUUUUCCAGUGGGUUCCCCUUGAUGUUGUUAACAACUCUCUAGAAGGCAUCGAGGCCUGAAAUUGAAUCUUUGACGUCGAAAUCGAGCCUUGCCGGAUUCUGCAAAAUUCUGGAAUUUUUCCGACCACCGAAGCUUUCGAUCGGUAUAUCUCGAGCUACAGACCAUAUUUUUCUGUGAUUCUUGAACCAGUGAGUUCUUCUUGAGUUUCUUAACAACUCUUCAGAAGGAAUCGAAGCCUUAAAUUGACGUUUUUACGUCGAAUUGGAGCUCGCCGUUUUCUGCAGUUUCUCGCCGGUUUCUGGAAAAUUCCGGCCACCUUCAUACUGUUCAAGGUGAUUGACGGUUUGAGUUGGCGGACGAUUGUGAAUCGUAUUUUGAGCUGUUAAGAAGACGCAGCGGGAUUAGAGCGGGUAAUCCUACAGGACAGGAGAACCAGGACGGUGAUCGUGCGGUUAGAGCAAUGGUUAUAGUUUUACAGCAAUUGUAAUAGUGAGGCGAGUUAAGCUCAUUUGAGCAUUACAAUUUGAUUUGGUGGGAGUGUGCUGUAAUAAAUAACUUGAGGAUUUGGGUUAUUGUAAAUUUGAGAGUUGUGAAGUGUGGUUGUUUGUGAGAAAAAAAUUCAGGAUGUUAGUUGUAAUUUGUUAUUAUUCAUGUUUCGGAUUUGAAUUGAUUAUUCAAAAUUCGGGGCGUGACAGUUUGGUAUCAGAGCGUAAGGUGCAUAUUUGGUGAUGUGUCAAUACUUUCCGAGUGAUGGCCCGUCUGCAGCGGAUCCCCAUCGUGUGCUCUUCGGUAUUGGCUAAGUCAUUGGGUAUGCGUGAGUGUUGGGAGUUGUUUAGGCCGCUAGGUCGUUUUAGGAACGUGAAUACCUUCCCUGUAGUAUUGACUUGGCUAAUAUGGACUUGUAUUUGACUCAUGCCAUGUUUUAAGUGCUAUACGUGUAUUAGCCAAGCAUACUAUACUUCUUAGGUGAUGGAUAUUCGAAAGGGGUAGUACAUUGAACCUUAAAGUUGUUUUGGAAGUUCGUAUUAGAAUGAGUUCAGUUGCCGCGAGUUAUAAUCUUUAAGGAAUGGAAACCUUCGGAUUUAACUCUGUUGAGUCAGUGAGAAUUGUUUUAUGGAAAUGAGGUUCUUUUGAUUGUUGAAGUGUUUGGUUGAAGGCAUGGUGUGGACCUAUGCACGUACCUAGUGUGGAUACGAGUAUUAAUGGAUAGAAAGUUUGCCUUCUUAAGUUGGACGUACAUAUGUUUUUGGAUGAGAUGUACAUGUCAAAUAAUAGAUAUCUUGUUUUGUAACGAGAUGUCUUAGUGGGGUUUUGGUAAUUGGCAUGGGUGAUGUGUUUAAAGUGGCUUUGAGGUAACUAUACUAAUCUUGUGUGAGAUUGAGUUAUUAGUAUAAAUUGAGAAUAUAUGAGCAGUUGGAAUGAGAAUUGAUCUCA
Long non-coding RNA from Rosa rugosa (rugosa rose), 2375 nucleotides. RefSeq lists it as uncharacterized. NCBI's taxonomy places the organism in Eukaryota, Viridiplantae, Streptophyta, Magnoliopsida, Rosales, Rosaceae. The transcript has 3 exons. The record is from RefSeq and is a predicted model, not a curated record.